CCUACGGGUGGCAGCAGUGGGGGAUAUUGCACAAUGGGGGGAACCCUGAUGCAGCGACGCCGCGUGGGUGAAGAAGCGCCUCGGCGCGUAAAGCCCUGUCAGCAGGGAAGCAAAUGACGGUACCUGAAGAAGAAGCCCCGGACAACUACGUGCCAGCAGCGGCGGUAAUACGUAGGGGGCAAGCGUUAUCCGGAUGUCACGGGUGUAAAGGGGGCGCAGUCGGCGAUGCAAGCCAGGAGUGAAAGCCCGGGGCCCAACCCCGGGCGUGCGCUUGAAACUGCGUGGCUGGAGUGCAGGAGGGGCAGGCGGAAUUCCUGGUGUAGCGGUGAAAUGCGUAGAUAUCAGGAGGAACACCGGUGGCGAAGGCGGCCUGCUGGACUGCAACUGACGUUGAGGCCCGAAAGCGUGGGGAGCAAACAGGAUUAGAUACCCUGGUAGUC
Molecule: ribosomal RNA, 440 nt
Filed under: uncultured bacterium
Lineage: Bacteria
Description: partial 16S ribosomal RNA
Rfam family: Bacterial small subunit ribosomal RNA
Source: RNAcentral